RNAcentral lists this ribosomal RNA (239 nucleotides) under uncultured Staphylococcus sp. RNAcentral describes it as "partial 16S ribosomal RNA". It matches the Rfam family "Bacterial small subunit ribosomal RNA", at positions 102 to 334 of the family's 1533-position model. The record is from RNAcentral. Lineage: Bacteria; Bacillati; Bacillota; Bacilli; Caryophanales; Staphylococcaceae.
GACGGGUGAGUAACACGUGGGUAACCUACCUAUAAGACUGGGAUAACUCCGGGAAACCGGGGCUAAUACCGGAUAACACAUGAAACCGCAUGGUUUCAUGAUGAAAGACGGUUUUGCUGUCACUUAUAGAUGGACCCGCGGCGUAUUAGCUAGUUGGUAAGGUAACGGCUUACCAAGGCAACGAUACGUAGCCGACCUGAGAGGGUGAUCGGCCACACUGGAACUGAGACACGGUCCAG